UACCACCUAUAAUCGUUUUAAUCGAUGGGGGGACGCAGUAGGAUAGGCGAAGCGUGCGAUUGGAUUGCACGUCUAAGCAGUAAGGCUGAGUAUUAGGCAAAUCCGGUACUCGUUGAGGCUGAGCUGUGAUGGGGAGAAGACAUUGUGUCUUCGAGUCGUUGAUUUCACACUGCCGAGAAAAGCCUCUAGAUAGAAAAUAGGUGCCCGUACCGCAAACCGACACAGG
This 226-nucleotide ribosomal RNA is filed under the name Staphylococcus aureus. RNAcentral describes it as "partial 23S ribosomal RNA". It matches the Rfam family "Bacterial large subunit ribosomal RNA", at positions 1442 to 1663 of the family's 2925-position model. The record is from RNAcentral. Lineage: Bacteria; Bacillati; Bacillota; Bacilli; Caryophanales; Staphylococcaceae.